RNAcentral lists this unclassified non-coding RNA (341 nucleotides) under soil metagenome. RNAcentral describes it as "partial contains 5.8S ribosomal RNA, internal transcribed spacer 2, and large subunit ribosomal RNA". The stretch from base 1 to 120 matches the Rfam family "5.8S ribosomal RNA", at positions 35 to 154 of the family's 154-position model. The record is from RNAcentral.
GAUGAAGAACGCAGCGAAAUGCGAUAAGUAGUGUGAAUUGCAGAAUUCAGUGAAUCAUCGAAUCUUUGAACGCACAUUGCGCCCUUUGGUAUUCCAAAGGGCAUGCCUGUUCGAGCGUCAUUUGUACCCUCAAGCUUUGCUUGGUGUUGGGCGUCUUGUCUCUAGCUUUGCUGGAGACUCGCCUUAAAGUAAUUGGCAGCCGGCCUACUGGUUUCGGAGCGCAGCACAAGUCGCACUCUCUAUCAGCAAAGGUUUAGCAUCCAUUAAGCCUUUUUUUCAACUUUUGACCUCGGAUCAGGUAGGGAUACCCGCUGAACUUAAGCAUAUCAAUAAGCGGAGGA